CUACCCUUCUCAGCACCCCAAUCCCGCUCGCGCGCGACGUCCGCCUGGGAUUCCGAUACCUGGACGGGCAGUGAGGUUGGGGGUGACCUGCCGAACCCCCUCAGCCCAUCGAGACAGAGGUCCUCGGGGUUGAGGGAGGCUGCCAACGGCAGGCAAGUCCGGGCGGCGCCCCCCCGAGGACCGGGCGCGCUGGGCGAGGCGGCUCCUUCGCACGCUGGGCUGAGCCCGGAGCUCCGCGGCUGGGGACUAGCGACGCCGCCGAGGUCCGCCUUGGGGGGGUUGGGCAGCGUCGUCCCUGCGACCGUGCUCUCGGGACUUGGGAGAGGAAGGAGAAAGGACAAGAGCCCGAGGGAAGGAACCGUCGGUGUUUCAUGUCUGUUCUUUAAAAGAGGCAACCAGUUCUCGGCCAGACUGGGGUUAGCCGAGGCAACCGGUGCAGUGCUGCCUAGAAGCGCACAGGUCAAAGCCACGGCCGAGCCGUGUCGGGGUGCCCUGAGGCACCGCCACUUUCACACCGGGACAUAAAAUAACCACCAGCGUGGGGAGGUAUGCCCACCUUGCUUCUCUGUUGGCCAGAAGCAAAUGCAAAACAUAACGGGACAACGCUUACAACCGCAGCUCUUUCAUUAGACAAAAGCCAAUUUUACCUUCCCGCAACCAUCCGAGCCUUUGGAACUUUUAUUUGCGGCAUUGUGGCGCCCUCUGGCUGUGCUCGGAUUGCUUUCACGUUUGCCCACCUCCCGGUAGAGCGAAGGAUAGAGCUGGGAGUUGUCCUCGAAGGUGGAUCUGCCCUCCUGACCCGUGCCUGGAUUUGGGGGUUGGGUUGUCCUCCAAAAUCGAGGCGACAAAAUGCAACCGUAUCUUCAAAGGGAGGACGCCAAAGGCAAGUGCAUCUGCAUUCGACUGGGGAAAGGGUGUCAAUGUCAACCCAAUACUACAGGUCGCUAGAGGCUAUGCAGGUAACCGCUAGACGACGGUACUGCACAGGUAGCUACGGUUCAUACGCGGCCACGACAGAUAAAACGCGUGCAAGCUGGAAAUAUUCGCAUUUUAACCAAAGGGCGGUACCCCUGAAGCUGAAGGCGCAGGAAGGCAGGCGCUGA
Molecule: long non-coding RNA, 1103 nt
Filed under: Felis catus (domestic cat)
Lineage: Eukaryota; Metazoa; Chordata; Mammalia; Carnivora; Felidae
Description: lncRNA (ENSFCAG00000049513.1)
Source: RNAcentral